Chloroflexi bacterium 54-19 is the source of this 97-nucleotide non-coding RNA. The record is from Rfam. Lineage: Bacteria; Bacillati; Chloroflexota; Chloroflexia; Candidatus Chloroheliales.
GAGAGCGUAAUACCCGGAAACGGGUCCGUUGCGUUCGGAGGGGAGGGCAGAGAAACCUGGCCUAGCAAUAGGCUAAGGCGCUCGGCCCUUACCCUAC